AUGAACGCUGGCGGCGUGCCUAAUACCUGCCGGUCGAGCGCACGGACGAGAAGCUUGCUUCUCUGAUGUUAGCGGCGGACGGGUGAGUAACACGUGGAUAACCUACCUAUAAGACUGGGAUAACUUCGGGAAACCGGAGCUAAUACCGGAUAAUAUUUUGAACCGCAUGGUUCAAAAGUGAAAGACGGUCUUGCUGUCACUUAUAGAUGGAUCCGCGCUGCAUUAGCUAGUUGGUAAGGUAACGGCUUACCAAGGCAACGAUGCAUAGCCGACCUGAGAGGGUGAUCGGCCACACUGGAACUGAGACACGGUCCAGACUCCUACGGGAGGCAGCAGUAGGGAAUCUUCCGCAAUGGGCGAAAGCCUGACGGAGCAACGCCGCGUGAGUGAUGAAGGUCUUCGGAUCGUAAAACUCUGUUAUUAGGGAAGAACAUAUGUGUAAGUAACUGUGCACAUCUUGACGGUACCUAAUCAGAAAGCCACGGCUAACUACGUG
Molecule: ribosomal RNA, 496 nt
Filed under: uncultured bacterium
Lineage: Bacteria
Description: partial 16S ribosomal RNA
Rfam family: Bacterial small subunit ribosomal RNA
Source: RNAcentral